CACGUAGGCGGACUGGAAAGUCAGUGGUGAAAGCCCAUCGCUCAACGGUGGAACGGCCAUUGAUACUGCUAGACUUGAAUUAUUAGGAAGUAACUAGAAUAUGUAGUGUAGCGGUGAAAUGCUUAGAGAUUACAUGGAAUACCAAUUGCGAAGGCAGGUUACUACUAAUGGAUUGACGCUGAUGGACGAAAGCGUGGGUAGCGAACAGGAUUAGAUACCCUAGUA
RNAcentral lists this ribosomal RNA (225 nucleotides) under uncultured Flavobacterium sp. RNAcentral's name for it is "partial 16S ribosomal RNA". It matches the Rfam family "Bacterial small subunit ribosomal RNA", at positions 568 to 792 of the family's 1533-position model. Lineage: Bacteria; Pseudomonadati; Bacteroidota; Flavobacteriia; Flavobacteriales; Flavobacteriaceae. The record is from RNAcentral.